RNAcentral lists this ribosomal RNA (254 nucleotides) under uncultured bacterium. RNAcentral describes it as "partial 16S ribosomal RNA". It matches the Rfam family "Bacterial small subunit ribosomal RNA", at positions 524 to 776 of the family's 1533-position model. The record is from RNAcentral.
UACGGAGGGAGCUAGCGUUGUUCGGAAUUACUGGGCGUAAAGCGCACGUAGGCGGCUUUGUAAGUUAGAGGUGAAAGCCCGGGGCUCAACCCCCGGAAUUGCCUUUAAGACUGCAUCGCUUGAAUCCGGGAGAGGUGAGUGGAAUUCCGAGUGUAGAGGUGAAAUUCGUAGAUAUUCGGAAGAACACCAGUGGCGAAGGCGGCUCACUGGACCGGCAUUGACGCUGAGGUGCGAAAGCGUGGGGAGCAAACAGG